GCAAGCGUUACUCGGAAUUACUGAGCGUAAAGCGUGCGUAGGUGGUUUGUUAAGUCUGUUGUGAAAGCCCCGGGCUCAACCUGGGAAUGGCAAUGGAUACUGGCAAGCUAGAGUGCGGUAGAGGGUAGUGGAAUUCCCGGUGUAGCGGUGAAAUGCGUAGAGAUCGGGAGGAACACCAGUGGCGAAGGCGGCUACCUGGACCAGCACUGACACUGAGGCACGAAAGCGUGGGGAGCAAACAGG
Molecule: ribosomal RNA, 243 nt
Filed under: uncultured bacterium
Lineage: Bacteria
Description: partial 16S ribosomal RNA
Rfam family: Bacterial small subunit ribosomal RNA
Source: RNAcentral